Zalophus californianus (California sea lion) is the source of this 107-nucleotide small nuclear RNA. The record is from Ensembl. NCBI's taxonomy places the organism in Eukaryota, Metazoa, Chordata, Mammalia, Carnivora, Otariidae.
GUGCUCGCUUUAGCAGCACAUAUCCUAAAGCUGAUAUGAUGCUGAGAAGAUCAGUGUGGCCCCUUUGCAAGGAUGCCAUGCAACUUCCUGAAGCAUUCCAUAUUUUU